RNAcentral lists this ribosomal RNA (458 nucleotides) under uncultured bacterium. RNAcentral's name for it is "bacterial SSU rRNA". It matches the Rfam family "Bacterial small subunit ribosomal RNA", at positions 30 to 518 of the family's 1533-position model. The record is from RNAcentral.
CGAACGCUGGCGGCAGGUCUUAGGCAUGCAAGUCGAACGGAUGACAGAGAGCUUGCUCUCGUGAAGUCAGUGGCGCACGAGUGAGUAACGCGUGGGAAACUGCCCUUCACUGGGGAAUAACGUUUGGAAACGAACGCUAAUACCGCAUACGCCCGCAAGGGGAAAGAUUUAUCGGUGAUGGAUGUGCCCGCGUUGGAUUAGCCAGUUGGUGGGGUAAUGGCCUACCAAAGCAAUGAUCCAUAGCUGGUCUGAGAGGACGAUCAGCCACGCUGGAACUGAGACACGGUCCAGACUCCUACGGGAGGCAGCAGCUAAGAAUAUUGGUCAAUGGGGGAAACCCUGAACCAGCCCAUGCCGCGUGAAUGAAGAAGGCCUUCGGGUUGUAAAGUUCUUUUAGUCGUGAAGAUGAUGACAGUAGCGACAGAAAAAGCACCGGCUAACUUCGUGCCAGCCGCAGC